CAAGUCAUUUCGUUUUACCUUUGUGCAUUAUUCUUUUCAAAUGUUCUUUCCUUCAUGAUGUGAUCUAUAAGAAGGCCACGUGUCAAAUGGUGUAAUGUAGAAUUUUGCUAUUCACACUUUUUGUUUCGUGUCAGAAAUGUAGCACACUCAAUUGGUCAAUCACGGACGUACUCUAUCUACAUCUCCCUGCUCUGCUCUACAAACACCUGACGCUGCAUGAUCAUUCAACGGCAAGUACAGCAGAAAGGAAAAAAAAAAAAUACCAGUGCCAACAAACAACCCAGCGAAGAUCUCAGUCUUUCUUUUCUUCUCCACGUCUCCUCACAGCUUUUCCCGCCACUUGUGAGUUUACUAAUGUGAAAAUUACCCGUUCAGCAACAAUAAGCCAACCCCAUCACUCACUUGUCAGCUAUGUCAACAACUGGAGGCCAGUACAAGAAGAAAUGGAUAGUUCAGGUGUAUCCAAAGAAGCAAGAUACUCUUUAAAGCUAUUGAUUCUAUCAAUGGGUGGUGUAGUAUGUAAUUGAUUGAUUGAGUUAAUUGCCCAGCUCUACUGAAGUCAGUCCCAAGUUUCCAGUUGAUGAUAGAGAGGCAGUGAUGGUUAAAAGCUAUUAGUGACUGUGGUAAAUCUGAAGGCUUUUAACCCUAAAAACAGGGUUUCCAUAACUGCGGUGGGCACAGUACAGAUAACCCAUUGUGUAGCCAUGUGCUUAACAGCAACCAAACAAACAAACUAUUUAUAGAGAUAGUCAUUUCUCUCAUGGUACUUGGGUUGAUUAUUGAGUGAAAAGUCUUCUUGGCACUGAUCUACUGCAUAACAGUUGCAUCAUGACGUCUGAUGUCAAAAGAAAAAGUGGAUUGUGGAAGACUGCCAGUACAGGUUACUAACAAUAAAAGUAUUCAAUACUCUGAACAAUUAUUUCUGAUGUUUUGAAUUACUCCAUGUAGGUUCACCUCUAGUACUGUAUUAGAUACUAACUGGAAACUUUUUUUUUUAUAAUCAUAUGCACAAUCAACAGUUAUGUGUUGCUUAUACAGAUUUAUUGUUAUGACAAGAACUGUUCAAUUAUUUUUAUAAACCUCAAUAAAGUGUUGUUUGAAAUUGUUU
Limulus polyphemus (Atlantic horseshoe crab) is the source of this 1108-nucleotide long non-coding RNA. RefSeq lists it as uncharacterized. NCBI's taxonomy places the organism in Eukaryota, Metazoa, Arthropoda, Merostomata, Xiphosura, Limulidae. The transcript has 6 exons. The record is from RefSeq and is a predicted model, not a curated record.